UUUAUGGUGUGGUUAAAGACGUCUUCCUUCCAUGGUACAACGCGUAUAGAUUCUUAGUACAGAAUGCUAAGAGGCUUGAGGUUGAAGGGCUUGCACCAUUCUCUCCUUUUGAUAUUGGAACACUUAAAAAUUCAUCUAAUGUGUUAGAUCAGUGGAUCAAUUCAGCCACUCAGAGUCUUGUUCAUUUUGUCCGCCAAGAAAUGGAUGCAUACCGACUUUACACGGUGGUUCCAUAUCUCUUGAAGUUUCUUGACAACCUUACAAACAUAUAUGUGCGAUUCAAUCGCAAGAGAUUAAAAGGUCGU
Molecule: unclassified non-coding RNA, 305 nt
Filed under: Hevea brasiliensis (rubber tree)
Lineage: Eukaryota; Viridiplantae; Streptophyta; Magnoliopsida; Malpighiales; Euphorbiaceae
Source: RNAcentral